AUUACAAUUAUGUUUAUUAGUCCAUCAAAGGCAUAGUAUUGACAAAAUUAUAGCUUAAAUAGACCGCAAACUAGAAAUUCGAAACAUUUGCUAAGCUGCAAAGAUAGAUACUCUCGUUUGGUCAAAGAUAUAUCGACAGAGACAAGCAUGAUGUACAAGAGGACGACGGUGCUAGUGGCGCUCGUGCUCCUGGUGGUGUGUGUGCAGCAUUCGAGCCAGAACUCGGUCCGGUGUCGCGCCGCGUGCUGGGAUACAUUCUACCUGUGCAAGGAGAACAGCGGCUGCGGCUCGCGCACCCCAGGCUCCUCCAUGAGCGACCUCAAAACCAACCGCCAGUGCCAGGAGGAGUGUCGGACCGCGCGGCAGACCUGCUCCGAUGAUUGUAUGAACUAAGCUUGAGUCUACAAAACACCAGACCCACCAACAGCAGAUUUAACGAACAUUUUUAACUAUUGGGCACUGAUUGCGUUUAACACACUAGAAACGAGGCACAAGUUUUAAAUAAACAAUUCUCUAAUUGAGAAGAUUUCUACCCACCAAGCAUUUGUUACUUUUAAGAAGCCAGGAACAAGGCACACGCUUUAAAUGUACAAUUCACUAAUUAGACAUGCUAAUAUUAGAAUACGACGUGUUCACAAUAUCUCCUAACUUUUAGACGCCAAAAAAGACGCACAUUUAUGCACACAUUCAACUAAUUUGUGCACACAAUCGUUUCUAACGUUUUCUACUCACACGAUGUUGUCAGCUGUAACUUGAUUUAUAAUAAAGCUUUUUUUCAUUAA
Long non-coding RNA from Gigantopelta aegis, 782 nucleotides. RefSeq lists it as uncharacterized. NCBI's taxonomy places the organism in Eukaryota, Metazoa, Mollusca, Gastropoda, Neomphalida, Peltospiridae. The transcript is spliced from 2 exons. The record is from RefSeq and is a predicted model, not a curated record.